CCAGCAGCUGCGGUAAUUCCAGCUCCACUAGCGUAUAUUAAAGUUGUUGCAGUUAAAAAGCUCGUAGUUGAACUUCUGAUUGUUGUUAGUGUCGGUAUUUAUAUCGCGCUAAUGGCAGUCAUCCGUCUGCAAACUUUUACAUCCUUAACUGGUUUGUCUAAGGGAGCAGGCAUUUUACUUUGAAAAAAUUAGAGUGUUUAAGGCAGGCGCAAGCCUGAAUACAUUAGCAUGGAAUAAUGGAAUAGGACGCUUGUCCAUUUGAUUGGUUAUUGGACUCGCGUAAUGAUUAAUAGGGACAGUUGGGGGCAUUAGUAUUUAAUUGUCAGAGGUGAAAUUCUUGGAUUUAUUAAAGACUAACUUAUGCGAAAGCAUUUGCCAAGGAUGUUUUCAUUAAUCAAGAACGAAAGU
This 408-nucleotide ribosomal RNA is filed under the name uncultured eukaryote. Its description in RNAcentral is "SSU rRNA". It matches the Rfam family "Eukaryotic small subunit ribosomal RNA", at positions 567 to 990 of the family's 1831-position model. The record is from RNAcentral.